This 727-nucleotide ribosomal RNA is filed under the name Mactra crossei. RNAcentral's name for it is "eukaryotic LSU rRNA". It matches the Rfam family "Eukaryotic large subunit ribosomal RNA", at positions 317 to 856 of the family's 3401-position model. Lineage: Eukaryota; Metazoa; Mollusca; Bivalvia; Venerida; Mactridae. The record is from RNAcentral.
UAAAUACUGGCACGAGUCCGAUAGCGGACAAGUACCGUGAGGGAAAGUUGAAAAGCACUUUGAAGAGAGAGUUCAAGAGUACGUGAAACCGCAUAGAGUCAAACGGGUGGAUCCGCUUGGUCGUCCCUCGGAAUUCAGCUCGCAAGCCGGUGGCUGCCUGUGCCUGGUGAUCUGUAACAGGACGCCGGGCGCGGGCGUGCUCGCCGGUAUGCGGGUGCACUUUCUGAGGGACGAAUGCCACGACCGGUUCUGGCGCGGUCAUAAGCCCCGCAGCAAGGUAGCGAUCCCCUUCGGGGGCCCGUGUUAAGGCUGCGGAGGUGGGCUCGCGCCGGGACCGAGGAUGAUGCCGCCGUCUCCGGCCUCUGGCCGUGCUAGGGUGUUCGACUGUGGAUGCGCGGCUUCGGCCGUGCCCCGCGACCGCUCCUUGGCAAGGGCUAGUACGCCGCGACGGCACUAUGGUCUGUGGCGUCUCGGUCGGUCCUCCACCCGACCCGUCUUGAAACACGGACCAAGGAGUCCAGCAUGUGCGCGAGUCAUGGGGCUCUACGAAACCCAAAGGCGCAAUGAAAGUAAAGAUGAUCUCCGAUCGUCCAGGCAGGAUCCCGGCCACUCGCUGGCUGGGCGCACUGCCGGCCCGUCUCAGCCGCAUUGACGGCGAGGCGGAGCAAGAGCGUACACGCUGGGACCCGAAAGAUGGUGAACUAUGUCUGAGCAGGACGAAGUCAGA